This 100-nucleotide transfer RNA is filed under the name Pholiota conissans. It matches the Rfam family "tRNA". Rfam says of the family: Transfer RNA (tRNA) molecules are approximately 80 nucleotides in length. Their secondary structure includes four short double-helical elements and three loops (D, anti-codon, and T loops). Lineage: Eukaryota; Fungi; Basidiomycota; Agaricomycetes; Agaricales; Strophariaceae. The record is from Rfam by way of RNAcentral.
GGCGCUGUAGCCAAGUGGUUACGGCGACAGUUUCGAAUCGGGUUUCUCCCGCCUAAGCUGUUCCUCUUUGAGGGCGCAAGUUCAAAUCUUGCCGGCGUCG